CCAUUUGAGGGGUCGUAGGCAAUUCGAGAGCGGCUGCGCGAAUUCACUUUCGGAUCCCGCUUUCAGUACGCCGCCUUUCGAGCCAAGAGAAAACGGGCGGGAUAUUCACAAGAUGACCUGGAGGAGACUUACGGCUUUUUGCUCUUUGAUGACGUCAACAAGGCCAAUGCGCUCGGGCGAACUGGAGUUCUCACUGGGACCAGCUCCUGUUGCAGCUUGGGAGACCCCCUCAAGGGUGUUUACAUCUCCAUGUUCUCGGACUGUUUGGGGCCGGAGCGCUGGCAGGACGGCCAAUCGGGAUACAUCGCCGUAAUCAAGCUGACGACGGUACAGGGAAGGGGGUGGGGGGG
Long non-coding RNA from Hippocampus zosterae (dwarf seahorse), 350 nucleotides. RefSeq lists it as uncharacterized. The record is from RefSeq and is a predicted model, not a curated record. Lineage: Eukaryota; Metazoa; Chordata; Actinopteri; Syngnathiformes; Syngnathidae. The transcript has 3 exons.